GCCCGCCUCGUCCAGUGGUUAGGACAUCUCGUUGUGGCCGAGGAAACCUGAGUUCGAUUCUCAGGGCGGGCA
RNAcentral lists this transfer RNA (72 nucleotides) under archaeon. Its description in RNAcentral is "tRNA-His". It matches the Rfam family "tRNA". Rfam says of the family: Transfer RNA (tRNA) molecules are approximately 80 nucleotides in length. The record is from RNAcentral.